GACCGUGUAGCUCAUGGGUAAAGAAUCGGAUUCCCAAUCCGAAUGUUCGCGGUUCGAGUCCUGACAGAAUCA
Molecule: transfer RNA, 72 nt
Filed under: Echinostoma caproni
Lineage: Eukaryota; Metazoa; Platyhelminthes; Trematoda; Plagiorchiida; Echinostomatidae
Rfam family: tRNA
About the family: Transfer RNA (tRNA) molecules are approximately 80 nucleotides in length. Their secondary structure includes four short double-helical elements and three loops (D, anti-codon, and T loops).
Source: Rfam by way of RNAcentral